GAAAAGUGUGUCACAAUACGCUU
Molecule: non-coding RNA, 23 nt
Filed under: Arabidopsis thaliana (thale cress)
Lineage: Eukaryota; Viridiplantae; Streptophyta; Magnoliopsida; Brassicales; Brassicaceae
Source: RNAcentral